RNAcentral lists this ribosomal RNA (497 nucleotides) under uncultured bacterium. RNAcentral describes it as "partial 16S ribosomal RNA". It matches the Rfam family "Bacterial small subunit ribosomal RNA", at positions 28 to 507 of the family's 1533-position model. The record is from RNAcentral.
GAUGAACGCUGGCGGCGUGCCUAAUACAUGCAAGUCGAGCGAACGGACGAGAGGCUUGCUUCUCUGAUGUUAGCGGCGGACGGGUGAGUAACACGUGGAUAACCUACCUAUAAGACUGGGAUAACUUCGGGAAACCGGAGCUAAUACCGGAUAAUAUUUUGAACCGCAUGGUUCAAAAGUGAAAGACGGUCUUGCUGUCACUUAUAGAUGGAUCCGCGCUGCAUUAGCUAGUUGGUAAGGUAACGGCUUACCAAGGCAACGAUGCAUAGCCGACCUGAGAGGGUGAUCGGCCACACUGGAACUGAGACACGGUCCAGACUCCUACGGGAGGCAGCAGUAGGGAAUCUUCCGCAAUGGGCGAAAGCCUGACGGAGCAACGCCGCGUGAGUGAUGAAGGUCUUCGGAUCGUAAAACUCUGUUAUUAGGGAAGAACAUAUGUGUAAGUAACUGUGCACAUCUUGACGGUACCUAAUCAGAAAGCCGCGGCUAACUACGUG